Molecule: ribosomal RNA, 600 nt
Filed under: uncultured bacterium
Lineage: Bacteria
Description: bacterial SSU rRNA
Rfam family: Bacterial small subunit ribosomal RNA (bases 1-463)
Source: RNAcentral
GGCGUACGGGUGCGGAACACGUGUGCAACUAGCUUUAUCUGGGGGAUAGCCUUUCGAAAGGAAGAUUAAUACCCCAUAAUAUGUUGAAUGGCAUCAUUCGACAUUGAAAACUCCGGUGGAUAGAGAUGGGCACGCGCAAGAUUAGAUAGUUGGUGAGGUAACGGCUCACCAAGUCUACGAUCUUUAGGGGGCCUGAGAGGGUGAUCCCCCAACUGGUACUGAGACACGGACCAGACUCCUACGGGAGGCAGCAGUGAGGAAUAUUGGACAAUGGGUGAGAGCCUGAUCCAGCCAUCCCGUGUGAAGGACGGACUGCCCUAUGGGUUUGAAACUUUCUUCGUCAUACGGCAUNAAACCUAACCUCGUCGAGGGUAGCUGAAGGUACUAUACCGAACUAAAGGCAACCGGCUAACUUCCGUGCCCAGCAGCCGCGGUAACUCACGGAGCGGUGCACGCGUUAUCCGGAUUUCAUCUAGGCGCUAUCUACAAGGGUCCCGCUCAGGCGGACUCUGCUCACACGCUCACCGUCGCGCUCGAACAUCCCCCUCCCAACGAAGGGGCAUUUCAAAACNCCGCUCGGGUCGAGAACAAACCCGUGGG